RNAcentral lists this unclassified non-coding RNA (187 nucleotides) under uncultured Ascomycota. RNAcentral describes it as "sequence contains ITS1". Lineage: Eukaryota; Fungi; Ascomycota. The record is from RNAcentral.
CAGAGUUGCAAAACUCCCACAAACCAUCGCGAAUCUUACCCGUACGGUUGCCUCGGCGCUGGCGGUCCGGAAGGCCCUCGGGCCCCCGGAUCCUCGGGUCUCCCGCUCGCGGGAGGCUGCCCGCCGGAGUGCCGAAACUAAACUCUUGAUAUCUUAUGUCUCUCUGAGUAAACUUUUAAAUAAGUCA